GCCCUGAACUUUGGGAUAAGCCUGGGAAACUGGGUCUAAUACCGGAUAUGACCUUGGAGUGCAUGCUCUGGGGUGGAAAGCUUUUGCGGUUCAGGAUGGGCCCGCGGCCUAUCAGCUUGUUGGUGGGGUAAUGGCCUACCAAGGCGACGACGGGUAGCCGACCUGAGAGGGUGAUCGGCCACACUGGGACUGAGACACGGCCCAGACUCCUACGGGAGGCAGCAGUGGGGAAUAUUGCACAAUGGGCGCAAGCCUGAUGCAGCGACGCCGCGUGAGGGAUGACGGCCUUCGGGUUGUAAACCUCUUUCACCAGGGACGAAGCGCAAGUGACGGUACCUGGAGAAGAAGCACCGGCCAACUACGUGCCAGCAGCCGCGGUAAUACGUAGGGUGCGAGCGUUGUCCGGAAUUACUGGGCGUAAAGAGCUCGUAGGCGGUUUGUCGCGUCGUCUGUGAAAUUCUGCAACUCAAUUGUAGGCGUGCAGGCGAUACGGGCAGACUUGAGUACUACAGGGGAGACUGGAAUUCCUGGUGUAGCGGUGAAAUGCGCAGAUAUCAGGAGGAACACCGGUGGCGAAGGCGGGUCUCUGGGUAGUAACUG
Molecule: ribosomal RNA, 600 nt
Filed under: Gordonia sp. XY-3
Lineage: Bacteria; Bacillati; Actinomycetota; Actinomycetes; Mycobacteriales; Gordoniaceae
Description: bacterial SSU rRNA
Rfam family: Bacterial small subunit ribosomal RNA
Source: RNAcentral